GAGUUUGAUCCUGGCUCAGAUUGAACGCUGGCGGCAUGCCUUACACAUGCAAGUCGAACGGCAGCACGGGAGCUUGCUCCUGGUGGGCGAGUGGCGAACGGGUGAGUAAUGCAUCGGAACGUAUCCUGGAGUGGGGGAUAACGUAGCGAAAGUUACGCUAAUACCGCAUAUUCUGUGAGCAGGAAAGCGGGGGACCUUCGGGCCUCGCGCUCUUGGAGCGGCCGAUGUCGGAUUAGCUAGUUGGUGAGGUAAAGGCUCACCAAGGCGACGAUCCGUAGCAGGUCUGAGAGGAUGAUCUGCCACACUGGAACUGAGACACGGUCCAGACUCCUACGGGAGGCAGCACGUGGGGAAUUUUGGACAAUGGGGGCAACCCUGAUCCAGCCAUGCCGCGUGAGUGAAG
This 403-nucleotide ribosomal RNA is filed under the name bacterium enrichment culture clone ALO1_GLFRUDD03G6MDI. RNAcentral's name for it is "bacterial SSU rRNA". It matches the Rfam family "Bacterial small subunit ribosomal RNA", at positions 9 to 410 of the family's 1533-position model. The record is from RNAcentral.